RNAcentral lists this ribosomal RNA (1200 nucleotides) under metagenome. RNAcentral's name for it is "bacterial SSU rRNA". It matches the Rfam family "Bacterial small subunit ribosomal RNA", at positions 295 to 1520 of the family's 1533-position model. The record is from RNAcentral.
AGAGGUUGAACGGCCACAUUGGGACUGAGACACGGCCCAGACUCCUACGGGAGGCAGCAGUGGGGAAUAUUGCACAAUGGGGGAAACCCUGAUGCAGCGACGCCGCGUGGAGGAAGAAGGUCUUCGGAUUGUAAACUCCUGUUGUUGGGGAAGAUAAUGACGGUACCCAACAAGGAAGUGACGGCUAACUACGUGCCAGCAGCCGCGGUAAAACGUAGGUCACAAGCGUUGUCCGGAAUUACUGGGUGUAAAGGGAGCGCAGGCGGGAAGACAAGUUGGAAGUGAAAUCUAUGGGCUCAACCCAUAAACUGCUUUCAAAACUGUUUUUCUUGAGUAGUGCAGAGGUAGGCGGAAUUCCCGGUGUGGCGGUGGAAUGCGUAGAUAUCGGGAGGAACACCAGUGGCGAAGGCGGCCUACUGGGCACCAACUGACGCUGAGGCUCGAAAGUGUGGGUAGCAAACAGGAUUAGAUACCCUGGUAGUCCACACCGUAAACGAUGAUUACUAGGUGUUGGAGGAUUGACCCCUUCAGUGCCGCAGUUAACACAAUAAGUAAUCCACCUGGGGAGUACGACCGCAAGGUUGAAACUCAAAGGAAUUGACGGGGGCCCGCACAAGCAGUGGAGUAUGUGGUUUAAUUCGACGCAACGCGAAGAACCUUACCAAGUCUUGACAUCCCUUGACAGGCAUAGAAAUAUGUUUUCUCUUCGGAGCAAGGAGACAGGUGGUGCAUGGUUGUCGUCAGCUCGUGUCGUGAGAUGUUGGGUUAAGUCCCGCAACGAGCGCAACCCUUAUGGUCAGUUACUACGCAAGAGGACUCUGGCCAGACUGCCGUUGACAAAACGGAGGAAGGUGGGGAUGACGUCAAAUCAUCAUGCCCUUUAUGACUUGGGCUACACACGUACUACAAUGGCGUUAAACAAAGAGAAGCAAGACCGCGAGGUGGAGCAAAACUCAGAAACAACGUCCCAGUUCGGACUGCAGGCUGCAACUCGCCUGCACGAAGUCGGAAUUGCUAGUAAUCGUGGAUCAGCAUGCCACGGUGAAUACGUUCCCGGGCCUUGUACACACCGCCCGUCACACCAUGAGAGCCGGGGGGACCCGAAGUCGGUAGUCUAACCGCAAGGAGGACGCCGCCGAAGGUAAAACUGGUGAUUGGGGUGAAGUCGUAACAAGGUAGCCGUAGGAGAACCUGCGGCUG